This 240-nucleotide ribosomal RNA is filed under the name uncultured bacterium. RNAcentral describes it as "partial 16S ribosomal RNA". It matches the Rfam family "Bacterial small subunit ribosomal RNA", at positions 15 to 244 of the family's 1533-position model. The record is from RNAcentral.
GAUCUUGGCUCAGGAUGAACGCUAGCUACAGGCUUAACACAUGCAAGUCGAGGGGAAACGACAUCGAAAGCUUGCUUUUGAUGGGCGUCGACCGGCGCACGGGUGAGUAACGCGUAUCCAACCCGCCUACCACUUGGGGAUAACCUUGCGAAAGUAAGACUAAUGCCCAAUGAUAUCCCACGAAGGCAUCCGAAUGGGAUUAAAGAUUUAUCGGUGAUGGAUGGGGAUGCGUCUGAUUAG